UUUGACCUCAAAUCAGGUAGGACUACCCGCUGAACUUAACA
Molecule: ribosomal RNA, 41 nt
Filed under: Hymenogaster boozeri
Lineage: Eukaryota; Fungi; Basidiomycota; Agaricomycetes; Agaricales; Hymenogastraceae
Description: partial 28S ribosomal RNA
Source: RNAcentral